AGAUUUGUCUUCAAUUACCACUGCCUAUCGCCAUAAUUACCAUUUGGAACAUUCUGGCUUGCUGAAGGAGUUGCUAAGCUAAGGCGCAGCUCACAUGAAUUGAAAUAAAACCAAAGGAAUUGUUGUACAAAGUGUUGAAUGCUGCAAAUAUUACGAUCCUUCAGAAGGAACAAGAAAUAAAAUGUUGAAGGAGCUACCGCAGUGAGUAAUCUGAAGGCUUGAUUUCAACACCAGCUCGAUCACCAAUGGAGCGAAGAAUACUGCUGAUAUCAACAUAUUCAUAUCUGUAAAUUCUAUACUGUAUUGAAACCGAUUAUUAAAUGCGAAAAAAACA
Molecule: long non-coding RNA, 334 nt
Organism: Anopheles nili
Lineage: Eukaryota; Metazoa; Arthropoda; Insecta; Diptera; Culicidae
Exons: 3
Source: RefSeq, a predicted model, not a curated record